Molecule: ribosomal RNA, 1056 nt
Filed under: Leptobrachium pullum (Vietnam spadefoot toad)
Lineage: Eukaryota; Metazoa; Chordata; Amphibia; Anura; Megophryidae
Description: partial 16S ribosomal RNA
Rfam family: Bacterial large subunit ribosomal RNA
Source: RNAcentral
UGGUUGCUCAAGAAAAGAAUUUUAGUUCUGUUUUAAAAAAUCUUAAGCACUUAAAGCACAUUUUUAAGAAUUAUUCAAUUAGGGUACAGCCUGAUUGAAAUAGGAUACAACCUGAAUUUUAGGAUAAUGAUUAAACUUAAAAAAGUCAAAGGCUAAGUUGGCUUAAAAGCAGCCAUCUUUUAAAAAGCGUCAAAGCUUAACCUUAAACUUACUUUUAUUUCAUCAACUUUUCAAAAUCCAUUAUUACUACUGAGCUAUUCUAUAAUAUUAUAGAAGAAUUAAUGUUAGGACUAGUAACAUAGAAUUAUUUCUCUUCCAUGUAAGUAAAAAUCAGUUCGAAUACUUCACCGAUAACUAAUCAGAUUUGAAUAUAGAGUAAUUUUGGAAUUUCCCAUGAAAAUACUACUUUUACUUCUGUUAAUCUUACACAAGAACAUGUAAGAAAGAUUUAAAGACCAAGAAGGAACUCGGCAAACACCAGUCUCGCCUGUUUACCAAAAACAUCGCCUUUUGAAAAUUAUAAAAGGUAACGCCUGCCCAGUGACAUCUGUUUAACGGCCGCGGUAUUCUGACCGUGCGAAGGUAGCGUAAUCACUUGUCUUUUAAAUAAAGACUAGUAUGAAUGGCAUCACGAAGACUUAACUGUCUCCUUAGUCCUAUCAGUGAAACUGAUCUUCCCGUGCAAAAGCGGGAAUAAAACCAUAAGACGAGAAGACCCUAUGGAGCUUAAAACUAAAACCUAGCUAUACUAUCUAUUAAAAUUAAUUAAUACUAUUUAUGAAUAGACUUAACCAAAGUUUUCAGUUGGGGUGACUGUGGAGAAAAACUAAUCCUCCAUGUAGAAUUAAGCUUUGAACUACCAUUCUUAGCAUUAGCAAGUCUAACUUUACUUGAUCCAAUAAUUUUGAUCAACGGACCAAGUUACCCUAGGGAUAACAGCGCAAUCCAUUUCAAGAGUCCAUAUCGACAAAUGGGUUUACGACCUCGAUGUUGGAUUAGGACACCCUAGUGGUGCAGCCGCUACUAAUGGUUCGUUUGUUCAACGAUUCAAGUCCU